UACGGGGGGGGGAAGCGUUGUUCGGAAUUACUGGGCGUAAAGCGCGCGUAGGCGGCUUUGUAAGUUAGAGGUGAAAGCCCGGGGCUCAACCCCGGAACUGCCUUUAAGACUGCAUCGCUUGAAUCCAGGAGAGGUGAGUGGAAUUCCGAGUGUAGAGGUGAAAUUCGUAGAUAUUCGGAAGAACACCAGUGGCGAAGGCGGCUCACUGGACUGGUAUUGACGCUGAGGUGCGAAAGCGUGGGGAGCAAACAGG
RNAcentral lists this ribosomal RNA (253 nucleotides) under uncultured bacterium. Its description in RNAcentral is "partial 16S ribosomal RNA". It matches the Rfam family "Bacterial small subunit ribosomal RNA", at positions 524 to 776 of the family's 1533-position model. The record is from RNAcentral.